Marasmius fiardii PR-910 is the source of this 96-nucleotide non-coding RNA. The record is from the annotation of a GenBank genome assembly. NCBI's taxonomy places the organism in Eukaryota, Fungi, Basidiomycota, Agaricomycetes, Agaricales, Marasmiaceae.
GCCCGCCUAGCUCAAUCGGAUAGAGCGUCAGACUUUUAUGACCUGGAGCUUGUACUAUCAAUCUGAAGGCUGCGAGUUCGACCCUCGCGGUGGGCU